RNAcentral lists this long non-coding RNA (1294 nucleotides) under Daphnia pulex (common water flea). RNAcentral's name for it is "uncharacterized LOC124192181, transcript variant X2". Lineage: Eukaryota; Metazoa; Arthropoda; Branchiopoda; Diplostraca; Daphniidae. The record is from RNAcentral.
UGUCCAAUAGAUGGCAUAGGCGUCGUCGUUUUCAUGUGAUGGCGGAUUGUUGUGUUGAGUGGUUGUCAAAAGUUUUCCUAUUUUUCCAUGAAAUUACCGAUGAAUUCAUAAGAAGGAACGGGAAAGGAAACAGUGCAUACAAGUAGCCUACCAUCACUAUACCACCAACUCUUUUAUUAAAAAUCGUCGUUCUGCUGAAUGCAUCAUGCAGUUAAUACAGUUUCUAUUGAUCUGUGUAGGUCACUACCCCAGUGUGGACAUGUUUGUUUUUCUGAACAUGUUUUUCAACAAAUAAUUCAUUGACGUGCAAGGAAAGCUUAAAGCUUAUUCAUGGGUAAUCUUCAGGUUAGCAGCAGCAGCUUAAGAGAAGAAUGUGAACAAAUGCAGGGCACAUACCAGCAUGUGCUGUAUUUUUCUGAAUGUUGAGCACGAGCAAUAGAUUCAACAUGACUAACUGUUUGAUGCCAAAGUUAGUUGGAACUCAACUCACUGUAUGUACUCUAACACAGAUAACUGGUGCUGUUGCCUUACAGCCACAGGCAGGAAAAUCAUUCUUUUUUUUUUCAGAAAAUUGGAAAGCUGCUGGAGUAAUCUGGUGUUGAUGCUCAUUUGAUGCAUUUCGUGCCACCUAGUGAAAGCCGAAAGGCAUGUCGAAUUCAAGUUGAGCUGCUGCGGGCUGUCUCUGGAAGCAAGCAAGAAGCAAUCCAGCCGUUGCGUUCAGUCAUUUGAACAGAAAUCUAAGGGCUGUCAAUAGGUGGCUGUCAAAAGUUGGCCGGAAUGUCCACCAGGUAGCGCCAGUGUCUUCAGGGACGCAUUUCGGCCAUUUUGUUCCAAGACGCAGCAGAAAUGGGCUGCUGGUCGUGACGUUUCUCACGAUGAAAAUUAAAAGGUGAUUUAGCAUGUGGAAACCACUUUGCUAAGUCAUUCAACUCAGACUUGGAAGUGCCUGUACAUUGCCGAAAUGGCGUGCCUCGUGUGUCUCGCUGCCUGUUCUUAGGCGUACGUCUCAUCCCAUGCAACAGAAAAAAGUAUAACAAAUACUUCUUUAACGCUGUGGGUUUUCUUGUUGCUGCCAAAUGGUGAAAGGAAGAAGAGUACGAAGACGGAUUGAACCAUUGUAUGCAGCAUGCAGUUGCAGUGUAAUCCAGAAGAAGCUGUGGUGGUGUUAUCCUGAAAUUGCUGUGCUGUUGUAGCUGAGCUGUUCCAUCUGGGUUCCUGACUUGAAAAUUUUUGUGUUGUUGUUUGCCUGCCAGUAUUUUGUGUUGUGACUUCAAAUAGUUUGAUCUGUCGUCUU